AUUGAACGCUGGCGGCAGGCCUAACACAUGCAAGUCGCACGAGUGGCGGACGGGUAAGUAAUGUCUGGGAACCUGCCCGAUGGAGGGGGCUAACUACGGAAAACGGUAGCUAAUACCGCAUACCCUCGGAUGUGCCCUGAUGGGAUUAGCUAGUAGGGUGGGUAAUGGCUCACCUAGGCGACGAUCCCUAGCUGGUCUGAGAGGAUGACCAGCCAAACUGGAACUGAGAAACGGUCCAGACUCCUACGGGAGGCAGCAGUGGGGAAUAUUGCACAAUGGGCGCAAGCCUGAUGCAGCCAUGCCGCGUGUAUGAAGAAGGCCUUCGGGUUGUAAAGUACUUUCAGCGGGGAGGCGUUACUCGCAGAAGAAGCACCGGCUAACUCCGUGCCAGCAGCCGCGGUAAUAC
This 406-nucleotide ribosomal RNA is filed under the name uncultured bacterium. Its description in RNAcentral is "partial 16S ribosomal RNA". It matches the Rfam family "Bacterial small subunit ribosomal RNA", at positions 30 to 526 of the family's 1533-position model. The record is from RNAcentral.